Non-coding RNA from Camelina sativa (false flax), 176 nucleotides. NCBI's taxonomy places the organism in Eukaryota, Viridiplantae, Streptophyta, Magnoliopsida, Brassicales, Brassicaceae. The record is from RefSeq and is a predicted model, not a curated record.
CCGUACCGAUCAAAGCUGCUAGAAUUGAUCAAGCAUACUGCUUCUCACAAGCCUCUCGUCGCCAGUACCAAAAUAUCCGAAAGGGUGAUUACACUCAUUAAGCAGCUAUUGGCUUCUCCAGCACCCCUUCAGGAUGUAGCAGUGAUGGACACCCAGGACUUAGCACUUGAUUGUAU